GGUGAAGGGACGCCAAGGAGAGCGUGUAAGACUCUACACUAGAGGAACGGUCCUUGGAUACAAGAGGUCGAAGUCGAAUCAGUAUCCAAACACUUCAUUGGUUCAGAUCGAGGGAGUCAACACUAAGGAAGAAGUAGAUUGGUACUUAGGGAAGCGUAUGGCUUAUGUAUACAAGGCGAAAACUAAGAAGAACAACUCGCAUUAUCGUUGUAUUUGGGGUAAAGUUUGUAGGCCUCAUGGUAACAGUGGAGUUGUUAGAGCUAAAUUCAAGUCCAAUCUGCCACCAAAAUCCAUGGGAGCUAAGGUUAGAGUUUUCAUGUACCCAAGCAAUAUAUAAAGCAAGGUAUUUAGUUGAUGCUUACUUGGAGGCCCUACGUUUGUCUAUCGAGGUCUUUAGUGGUGAAGGUUUUGAAUCUUUAAAAUAUAGUUGACAUAAAUUGUUUCAAGUUUUUUUGGUAUUUUUGUUUGUCAUGUACUCUGAAAUACCAUGGUUUGAACAUCUAAUUAGAUGUCUAAUUUUAUUCUUGGAUUUUAA
This 535-nucleotide unclassified non-coding RNA is filed under the name Hevea brasiliensis (rubber tree). The record is from RNAcentral. Lineage: Eukaryota; Viridiplantae; Streptophyta; Magnoliopsida; Malpighiales; Euphorbiaceae.